This 406-nucleotide ribosomal RNA is filed under the name Hafnia sp. ZYQ-2015-10. RNAcentral describes it as "bacterial SSU rRNA". It matches the Rfam family "Bacterial small subunit ribosomal RNA", at positions 988 to 1393 of the family's 1533-position model. The record is from RNAcentral. Lineage: Bacteria; Pseudomonadati; Pseudomonadota; Gammaproteobacteria; Enterobacterales; Hafniaceae.
UUAGGGGAUUAGCAGAGAUACUUUAGUGCCUUCGGGAACUCUGAGACAGGUGCUGCAUGGCUGUCGUCAGCUCGUGUUGUGAAAUGUUGGGUUAAGUCCCGCAACGAGCGCAACCCUUAUCCUUUGUUGCCAGCACGUAAUGGUGGGAACUCAAAGGAGACUGCCGGUGAUAAACCGGAGGAAGGUGGGGAUGACGUCAAGUCAUCAUGGCCCUUACGAGUAGGGCUACACACGUGCUACAAUGGCAUAUACAAAGAGAAGCGAACUCGCGAGAGCAAGCGGACCUCAUAAAGUAUGUCGUAGUCCGGAUUGGAGUCUGCAACUCGACUCCAUGAAGUCGGAAUCGCUAGUAAUCGUAGAUCAGAAUGCUACGGUGAAUACGUUCCCGGGUCUUGUUACACACCGA